Molecule: long non-coding RNA, 201 nt
Filed under: Lathyrus oleraceus (garden pea)
Lineage: Eukaryota; Viridiplantae; Streptophyta; Magnoliopsida; Fabales; Fabaceae
Description: Pisum sativum (pea) long non-coding RNA (PSAT_LNC014474)
Source: RNAcentral
ACAGUCAUUCAUAAGUCAGCGUAAUAUGCUCACUUUGUUUAAAAACCCUUCUCCCAUGCCAAAAGAAGAAGUGAUGACAUUGUUGGCAUCAUAUAUACAAUGAUAUUUUCAUUCAAUUAAUGCAUGUUAAACAUUUGUUUUUCCAAUUGUUUUCACUUUUUGCUUUUUGCUUUUUGCAUGAAAUUGGUGAUCACAAAAAAC